RNAcentral lists this ribosomal RNA (1257 nucleotides) under uncultured bacterium. RNAcentral's name for it is "bacterial SSU rRNA". It matches the Rfam family "Bacterial small subunit ribosomal RNA", at positions 130 to 1400 of the family's 1533-position model. The record is from RNAcentral.
CCCUGACUCUGGGAUAAGCGUGGGAAACGACGUCUAAUACUGGAUAUGAUCACUGGCCGCAUGGUCUGGUGGUGGAAAGAUUUUUUGGUUGGGGAUGGACUCGCGGCCUAUCAGCUUGUUGGUGAGGUAAUGGCUCACCAAGGCGACGACGGGUAGCCGGCCUGAGAGGGUGACCGGCCACACUGGGACUGAGACACGGCCCAGACUCCUACGGGAGGCAGCAGUGGGGAAUAUUGCACAAUGGGCGAAAGCCUGAUGCAGCAACGCCGCGUGAGGGAUGACGGCCUUCGGGUUGUAAACCUCUUUUAGUAGGGAAGAAGCGAAAGUGACGGUACCUGCAGAAAAAGCACCGGCUAACUACGUGCCAGCAGCCGCGGUAAUACGUAGGGUGCAAGCGUUGUCCGGAAUUAUUGGGCGUAAAGAGCUCGUAGGCGGUUUGUCGCGUCUGCUGUGAAAUCCCGAGGCUCAACCUCGGGCUUGCAGUGGGUACGGGCAGACUAGAGUGCGGUAGGGGAGAUUGGAAUUCCUGGUGUAGCGGUGGAAUGCGCAGAUAUCAGGAGGAACACCGAUGGCGAAGGCAGAUCUCUGGGCCGUAACUGACGCUGAGGAGCGAAAGCAUGGGGAGCGAAAAGGAUUCGAUACCCUGGUAGUCCAUGCCGUAAACGUUGGCGCUAGAUGUAGGGACCUUUCCACGGUUUCUGUGUCGUAGCUAACGCAUUAAGCGCCCCGCCUGGGGAGUACGGCCGCAAGGCUAAAACUCAAAGGAAUUGACGGGGGCCCGCACAAGCGGCGGAGCAUGCGGAUUAAUUCGAUGCAACGCGAAGAACCUUACCAAGGCUUGACAUACACCGGAAACGGCCAGAGAUGGUCGCCCCCCCGUGGUCGGUGUACAGGUGGUGCAUGGUUGUCGUCAGCUCGUGUCGUGAGAUGUUGGGUUAAGUCCCGCAACGAGCGCAACCCUCGUUCUAUGUUGCCAGCGGGUUAUGCCGGGGACUCAUAGGAGACUGCCGGGGUCAACUCGGAGGAAGGUGGGGAUGACGUCAAAUCAUCAUGCCCCCUAUGUCUUGGGCUUCACGCAUGCUACAAUGGCCGGUACAAAGGGCUGCGAUACCGUAAGGUGGAGCGAAUCCCAAAAAGCCGGUCUCAGUUCGGAUUGAGGUCUGCAACUCGACCUCAUGAAGUCGGAGUCGCUAGUAAUCGCAGAUCAGCAACGCUGCGGUGAAUAAGUUCCCGGGCCUUGCACACACCGCCCGUCAA